This is a non-coding RNA of Glycine soja, 107 nucleotides long. The record is from Rfam. NCBI's taxonomy places the organism in Eukaryota, Viridiplantae, Streptophyta, Magnoliopsida, Fabales, Fabaceae.
AUCUAGUGAUGAAGGCAGCUGGCGCAUAAUUUUUUGAAUCUUUCCCAGUAUUCAUAUAGGCUUUCUCCACUGAGUUGAUGGAUGCCUGAAAUAUCCUUUCCGAUGGC